CCUACGGGGGGCUGUAGUGGGGAAUAUUGGACAAUGGGCGAAAGCCUGAUCCAGCCAUGCCGCGUGUGUGAAGAAGGCCUUCGGGUUGUAAAGCACUUUCAGUGGGGAAGAAAGCCUUGGGGCUAAUACCCUCGAGGAAGGACAUCACCCACAGAAGAAGCACCGGCUAACUCCGUGCCAGCAGCCGCGGUAAUACGGAGGGUGCGAGCGUUAAUCGGAAUUACUGGGCGUAAAGCGCGCGUAGGCGGUCUGAUAAGCCGGUUGUGAAAGCCCCGGGCUCAACCUGGGAACGGCAUCCGGAACUGUCAGGCUAGAGUACAGGAGAGGAAGGUAGAAUUCCCGGUGUAGCGGUGAAAUGCGAAGAGAUCGGGAGGAAUACCAGUGGCGAAGGCGGCCUUCUGGACUGACACUGACGCUGAGGUGCGAAAGCGUGGGUAGCAAACAGGAUUAGAUACCCUAGUAGUC
Molecule: ribosomal RNA, 465 nt
Filed under: Vreelandella stevensii
Lineage: Bacteria; Pseudomonadati; Pseudomonadota; Gammaproteobacteria; Oceanospirillales; Halomonadaceae
Description: partial 16S ribosomal RNA
Rfam family: Bacterial small subunit ribosomal RNA
Source: RNAcentral